This 430-nucleotide ribosomal RNA is filed under the name uncultured bacterium. RNAcentral describes it as "bacterial SSU rRNA". It matches the Rfam family "Bacterial small subunit ribosomal RNA", at positions 355 to 776 of the family's 1533-position model. The record is from RNAcentral.
UGGGGAAUUUUGCGCAAUGGGCGAAAGCUUGACGCAGCAACGCCGCGUGAGUGAAGAAGGCCUUUGGGUUGUAAAGCUCUUUCGGCAGGGAAGAAGGGCGCUACGGUAAACAAUUGUAGCGUUUGACUGUACCUGAAGAAGAAGCACCGGCUAACUCCGUGCCAGCAGCCGCGGUAAUACGGAGGGUGCAAGCGUUGUUCGGAAUUACUGGGCGUAAAGGACGCGUAGGCGGGCGUGCAAGUCGAUUGCGAAAGCCCCGGGCUUAACCUGGGAACGGCAGUCGAUACUGCAUGUCUUGAGUGCUUGAGAGGGUGCUGGAAUUCCUGGUGUAGAGGUGAAAUUCGUAGAUAUCAGGAGGAACACCGGAGGCGAAGGCGGGCACCUGGUGAGACACUGACGCUGAAGCGUGAAAGUGCGGGGAUCAAACAGG